Molecule: ribosomal RNA, 460 nt
Filed under: uncultured bacterium
Lineage: Bacteria
Description: partial 16S ribosomal RNA
Rfam family: Bacterial small subunit ribosomal RNA
Source: RNAcentral
CCUACGAGGGGCAGCAGUGAGGAAUAUUGGUCAAUGGGCGGGAGCCUGAACCAGCCAAGUCGCGUGAGGGAAGACGGUCCUAUGGAUUGUAAACCUCUUUAGGCUGGGAGCAAUGCCGGGCACGCGUGCCCGGAGGGAGAGUACCCGCAGAAUAAGCAUCGGCUAACUCCGUGCCGGCAGCCGCGGUAAUACGGAGGAUGCGAGCGUUAUCCGGAUUUAUUGGUUUAAAAGGGUGCGUAGGCGGUUUUUUAAGUCAGCGGUAAAAUGUCCGGGCUCAACCCGGGCCGGCCGUUGAAACUGGGGAUCUUGAGUGGGCGAGAAGUAUGCGGAAUGCGUGGUGUAGCGGUGAAAUGCAUAGAUAUCACGCAGAACUCCGAUUGCGAAGGCAGCAUACCGGCGCCCGACUGACGCUGAGGCACGAAAGCGUGGGGAUCGAACAGGAUUAGAUACCCUUGUAGUC